UACGUAGGGGGCGAGCGUUGUCCGGAUUUAUUGGGCGUAAAGAGCUCGUAGGCGGUUCGGUAAGUCAGAUGUAAAAACUCCAGGCUCAACUUGGAGAGGCCAUCUGAUACUGCCGUGACUAGAGUCCGGUAGAGGAGCACGGAAUUCCUGGUGUAGCGGUGAAAUGCGCAGAUAUCAGGAGGAACACCAGCGGCGAAGGCGGUGCUCUGGGCCGGAACUGACGCUGAGGAGCGAAAGCAUGGGGAGCGAACAGG
Molecule: ribosomal RNA, 254 nt
Filed under: uncultured bacterium
Lineage: Bacteria
Description: partial 16S ribosomal RNA
Rfam family: Bacterial small subunit ribosomal RNA
Source: RNAcentral